This 459-nucleotide ribosomal RNA is filed under the name uncultured bacterium. RNAcentral describes it as "partial 16S ribosomal RNA". It matches the Rfam family "Bacterial small subunit ribosomal RNA", at positions 338 to 795 of the family's 1533-position model. The record is from RNAcentral.
CCUACGGGAGGCAGCAGUGAGGAAUAUUGGUCAAUGGGAGAGAUCCUGAACCAGCCAAGCCGCGUGAGGGAAGACGGCCCUAUGGGUUGUAAACCUCUUUUGUCGGAGAACAAAACCCGGGACGUGUCCCGGACCGCGUGUAUCCGAAGAAAAAGCAUCGGCUAACCCCGUGCCAGCCGCCGCGGUAAUACGGAGGAUGCGAGCGUUAUCCGGAUUUAUUGGGUUUAAAGGGUGCGUAGGCGGUCCGUUAAGUCAGCGGUAAAAUUGCGGGGCUAAACCCCGUCGAGCCGUUGAAACUGGCAGACUUGAGUUGGCGAGAAGUACGCGGAAUGCGCGGUGUAGCGGUGAAAUGCAUAGAUAUCGCGCAGAACUCCGAUUGCGAAGGCAGCGUACCGGCGCCAGACUGACGCUGAGGCACGAAAGCGUGGGGAUCAAACAGGAUUAGAUACCCCGGUAGUC